ACGGAAAUUGAUGUUCUUCCGGCUCGAAACCCCCUAACAAUAUCAGUCCACGAUCAGGAAUUUCUUGUUGGUUUAACCUUGAAGGUGGAUUUUUAUAAUGUUUUCUAAGAAGUUGCAAACUUUCUUGAUAUUAUUGAGUAUAUUUCAUAACGGCCAUACAGAUACAACAGUAUUGCCCACAGCAAGUUUUUCAAAGUCGUCCGUUACAGAUGACC
Molecule: long non-coding RNA, 215 nt
Organism: Saccostrea cuccullata (small rock oyster)
Lineage: Eukaryota; Metazoa; Mollusca; Bivalvia; Ostreida; Ostreidae
Exons: 2
Source: RefSeq, a predicted model, not a curated record